CGACGAUGGCCGGGUCCCGCGCAAUGGAAACUUCCGAACCCCGCCAGGUCCGGGAGGAAGCAACGGUAAGGAAGCCCUUCCAUGUGCCGCGGGGCAGCCUGGUCGGAGCUAACUAUCA
RNAcentral lists this signal recognition particle RNA (118 nucleotides) under Thermosediminibacter oceani DSM 16646. RNAcentral describes it as "RNA component of signal recognition particle". The stretch from base 8 to 107 matches the Rfam family "Bacterial small signal recognition particle RNA". From Rfam's summary of the family: The signal recognition particle (SRP) is a universally conserved ribonucleoprotein involved in the co-translational targeting of proteins to membranes. Archaeal SRP consists of a 7S RNA and homologues of the eukaryotic SRP19 and SRP54 proteins. Lineage: Bacteria; Bacillati; Bacillota; Clostridia; Thermosediminibacterales; Thermosediminibacteraceae. The record is from RNAcentral.